RNAcentral lists this ribosomal RNA (408 nucleotides) under uncultured bacterium. RNAcentral describes it as "bacterial SSU rRNA". It matches the Rfam family "Bacterial small subunit ribosomal RNA", at positions 976 to 1381 of the family's 1533-position model. The record is from RNAcentral.
UGGUCUUGACAUAGAAAGAACUUUCCAGAGAUGGAUUGGUGCCUGCUUGCAGGAGCUUUCAUACAGGUGCUGCACGGCUGUCGUCAGCUCGUGUCGUGAGAUGUUGGGUUAAGUCCCGCAACGAGCGCAACCCUCGUCGUUAGUUGCUAACAGUUCGGCUGAGAACUCUAACGAGACUGCCUACGCAAGUAGGAGGAAGGUGAGGACGACGUCAAGUCAUCAUUGCCCUUACGACCAGGGCUACACACGUGCUACAAUGGGGUAUACAAAGAGCAGCAAUACGGUGACGUGGAGCGAAUCUCAAAAAUGCCUCCCAGUUCGGAUUGUAGUCUGCAACUCGACUACAUGAAGUUGGAAUCGCUAGUAAUCGUAGAUCAGCUAUGCUACGGUGAAUACGUUCCCGGGUCU